AAGCCCAAAAUGAAAAGCCAGCUUGCUGGCGUUGUAGUUGAGCGACCUUGGGGUGUCAGUCUGGGUAAGUCGCAUGGAAAUGCGUGCCGUGGAGGGUGAGAGCCCCGUCCAUCCCAUUCAGGACACCCCGCACAAGGGCGUUUCAGACGAGUCGGGUAGCUUGGGAAUGCUGCUCUAAUUGGUGGUAAAUCUCAUCAAAGGCUAAAUAACGGUGGGAGACCGAUAGCGAACAAGUACCGUGAGGGAAAGAUGACAAGCACUUUGAAAAGAGGGUGAAAAGAGCCUGAAACCGUUACGGGGGAAGCGGAUCGCGUUGGCCUGGUGGCCGCCUGUGUGUUCAGCCUUCGGGUGCAUUGAUGCAGGUGGUUAUCCGUCGUGGCUUCUCGGUGGCCGAAUUUGGGCUGCUGGGGGGUGAGGGCUCCCUUCGGGUGAGGACGACGGAGUGACGACGCGAUACGACCCGUCUUGAAACACGGACCAAGGAGUCUAGCGCGGGUGCGAGUCGGAGGGUGUUAAAACCCGUGGGCGAAGUGAAAGCGAGUGUAAAAACGAGCAGUUUGAGGCGGCAUAGAAUCGUUGAUUCUAGGUCCGACCUUGAGCAGUUGCGCUGGGACCCGAAAGAUGGUGAACUAUGCCGGAGUAGGGCAAAGCCAGAAGAAAUUCUGGUGGAGGCUCGUAGCGGUGCUGACGUGCAAAUCGCUCGUCGAACUUGGGUAUAGGGGCGAAAGACUAAUCGAACCAUCUAGUAGCUGGUUCCCUCCGAAGUUUCUCUCAGGAUAGCGGGCCGACAAGUUGUUUUGUGCGGUAAAGCGAAUGAUUAGCGCAUUCGGGGCCGUUUAGGCUUUGGGCGAUUCUCAAACUUUCAAUGCGCAAGGGUACCGGUGCUUUGUUGAGCGGUACCGAUAAAAACGUCGGCCUUGUGGGCCACUUUUGGUAUCCGCCAAGGAGUGUGUAACAACUCACCUGCCGAAUGAUUUAGCCCUGAAAAUGGAUGGCGCUUAAGCGGGCGACCGACACCAUGCCGUCUGUAAAAUAAAUCAGAUGAGUAGGAGGGCGUGGCGGCCGUGUCGAAGCGCGCCUGCAGAGGCGUGUGGAACGGCCGCUAGUGCAGAUCUUGGUGGUAGUAGCAAAUAUUCAAGCGAGAUCCUUGAAGGGCGAAGCGGGGAAGGGUUCCACGCGAACAUUGAUUGGGCGUGGGUGAGUCGUUCCUAAGCCGAGUGGCGAUUGCUAAGUAGCGGCGAAAGGGAAGCGGGUUGACAUUCCCGCACACGGAUGUGGAGGCGGCGACGCUUUAUUGGGGCGAACACGCUGGCGGUGGCGCUGGGCAGAGUUGUCUUUUCUGUUUGACCGCUGAUGCACGCGGUGUGGAAUCCGCUUGUCGGGAGAAACACGCGUGUACGGGCAGAGCGCCGGGGCUUUUCCGGCGUCCAGCUCGCCACCGACGGCCCUUGAAACUUUGCCUGCUGGUAUUUUAAGAUCCACGCCGUGGCGUACCGAUCACCGCAUCAGGUCCCCGAGGUGAACAGCCUCUGCUCAAUAUGAAAAAUGCAGGUAAGGGAAGUCGGCAAAUUGGACCCGUAACUUUGGGAAAAGGGUUGGCUCUAGUGCUGCGUGGGAGUGGUUGUCGGGUGUUGGUAUGUUUAGGCUUGCUGAGCGAGCGCGGGCCUUCGGGACUGUGUUUGUUCGGCGAGCCCGGAUGUGCCACGCUCGACNACGCCCACAGCAUGCAGCAGACUAGUUUAAUUAAAACAAAGCAUUGCGAAGGCCGUGGCCGGUGAUGACGCAAUGUGAUUUCUGCUCAGUGCUCUGAAUGUCAAAGUGAAGAGAUUCAAUCAAGCGCGGGUAAACAGCGGGAGUAACUAUGACUCUCUUAAGGUAGCCAAAUGCCUCGUCAUCUAAUUAGUGACGCGCAUGAAUGGAUUAACGAGAUUCCUACUGUCCCUAUCUGCUUCUAGCGAAACCACAGCCGAGGGAACGGGCUCGGCGAAAUCGGCGGGGAAAGAAGACCCUGUUGAGCUUGACUCUAUUCUAAUUUUGUGAAGCAAGCUGGGAGGUGUAGCAUAGGUGGGAGACUUCGGUCGUCCGUGAAAUACCACUACUCCCAGUCUUGCUUUACUUACUGGGUGGGUGUGGAUGAGUCUUACGACUCUUUUCUGGAACCAACUCAAUUUAAUUUGAGGACCACAGCCCAGUACACAUUUAGGAGGGGAGUUUGGCUGGGGCGGUACAUCUUCUACAAGACAACGAAGGUGUCCAAAGAUAAGCUCAGUGAGAACAGAAAUCUCACGUAGCGCAAAAGGGUAAAAGCUUGUUUGAUUUUGAUUUUCAGUGCGAGUCAAAAACGCGAAAGCGUGGCCUAUCGAUCCUUUCACGAUUCGAGAUUUGAAGCGAGAGGUGUCAGAAAAGUUACCACAGGGAUAACUGGCUUGUGGCGGCCAAGCGUUCAUAGCGA
This 2452-nucleotide ribosomal RNA is filed under the name Tsengia laingii. Its description in RNAcentral is "partial large subunit ribosomal RNA". It matches the Rfam family "Eukaryotic large subunit ribosomal RNA", at positions 104 to 2860 of the family's 3401-position model. The record is from RNAcentral. Lineage: Eukaryota; Rhodophyta; Florideophyceae; Halymeniales; Tsengiaceae.